CCUACGGGAGGCAGCAGUGAGGAAUAUUGGUCAAUGGCCGGAAGGCUGAACCAGCCAAGCCGCGUGAAGGACGAAGGUGCCAAGCAUUGUAAACUUCUUUUGUCAAGGGACAAAAUCAGGCUCGAGAGCCUGACCGAGGGUACUUGAAAAAAAAGAAUCGGCUAACUCCGUGCAAGAAGCCGCGGUAAUACGGGGGAGGCGGCCGUUCGCCGGAUUUAUUGGGUUUAAGGGGUGCGUAGGCGGACUUUUAAGUCAGCGGUAAAAGCCCGGGGCUCAACCCCGGCGAGCCGUUGAAACUGGCUGUCUUGAGAUGUCGAGAGGUAUGCGGAAUGCGCAGUGUAGCGGUGAAAUGCUUAGAUAUUGCGCAGAACUCCGAUUGCGAAGGCAGCAUACCGGCGGCGAUCUGACGCUGAGGCACGAAAGCGUGGGUAUCGAACAGGAUUAGAUACCCUUGUAGUC
RNAcentral lists this ribosomal RNA (459 nucleotides) under uncultured bacterium. RNAcentral describes it as "partial 16S ribosomal RNA". It matches the Rfam family "Bacterial small subunit ribosomal RNA", at positions 338 to 795 of the family's 1533-position model. The record is from RNAcentral.